ACUCGUUCCUCUCAAUUCGUAGUUGCUCUCAAAUUCUUAAUCUCUCAGACGUAUCACCCAAAUAUAGUCACCCAUCGCCGAGAGAUUAUCCCUCUCGGCUCCCGCCGUUGCCCGUCGCCCGGAUCCCGGAUCCCGUCUCCCCAGUCCCCACUCUAGUGGAGUUUUUAUCCUGGCUCCGCCACUGCUUCUCAACACAAUUUAACAUAUGCAAAUAUGCAUCAAGCCGAUAUCUAUUUCACACAAUUGAAUCAGAAUUCCUCCCCCAGGAUUGCUACCAAUUUGAUUAGUCAAAUUCCUCAACAGAGCCAGGAAUUUUAUUCAAAUAGUUACGAGCAACUAUCUGAUAGAGGAAAAAAAGUCCAAUGAUAUAAGUUCUUGCGCACACAAGUAAAAUGGAAUGUGCGGCUGCAGUCUUAAUAUGCAUUUGCUAUGAUACUUAAAAGAAGAAGACUUUUGAUACGGGAGAAACAUCCGACAGGAGCAGUUUGGGAAAUACUUUUUAGAGAUUAUGGCAUUUUUAUUUUGUUGGAUAAUACUCAAUUGAAAUGAGUUUUGGUUAUGUUAAAGACCCAUUUGUUUGAUAUUUUAAUGACUUUCGACUGUUUGGGUUUAGUAUUUGACCAAACCUAUUAUAUUUCAUCUCUAUCAUCUUUCUU
RNA transcript from Fragaria vesca subsp. vesca, 656 nucleotides. RefSeq lists it as uncharacterized. The transcript has 4 exons. Lineage: Eukaryota; Viridiplantae; Streptophyta; Magnoliopsida; Rosales; Rosaceae. The record is from RefSeq and is a predicted model, not a curated record.